CCCAUUGGAGACGAAGAAUUGGUCUCCUACAUCCUGGCCGGCCUUGACAUCGAAUACAACCCCUUGGUAUUGGCCAUUGUUGCACGAGUCGAGCCAAUCACCGUGGGGGAGCUAUUCUCUCAGCUUUGAUU
This 131-nucleotide small nucleolar RNA is filed under the name Setaria italica (foxtail millet). Its description in RNAcentral is "Small nucleolar RNA Z247". It matches the Rfam family "Small nucleolar RNA Z247". From Rfam's summary of the family: Z247 is a member of the C/D class of snoRNA which contain the C (UGAUGA) and D (CUGA) box motifs. Most of the members of the box C/D family function in directing site-specific 2'-O-methylation of substrate RNAs. Lineage: Eukaryota; Viridiplantae; Streptophyta; Magnoliopsida; Poales; Poaceae. The record is from Rfam by way of RNAcentral.